This 253-nucleotide ribosomal RNA is filed under the name uncultured bacterium. Its description in RNAcentral is "partial 16S ribosomal RNA". It matches the Rfam family "Bacterial small subunit ribosomal RNA", at positions 524 to 776 of the family's 1533-position model. The record is from RNAcentral.
UACGUAGGUGGCAAGCGUUGUCCGGAUUCACUGGGCUUAAAGGGUGCGUAGGCGGCUCAGAAAGUAGGGUGUGAAAGCCCUCGGCUCAACCGAGGAAUUGCGCCCUAAACUACUGGGCUUGAGGAACGCAGAGGUAAGCGGAACUUACGGUGGAGCGGUGAAAUGCGUUGAUAUCGGAAGGAACAUCAGUGGCGAAAGCGGCUUCCUGGUCCAGCACCGACGUUCAGGCACGAAAGCGUGGGGAGCAAACAGG